GGUUUCUUGGUUUAGUGGUAUAAUUCUCGCUUGCCACGCGAGAGGGCCCGGGUUCGAUUCCCCGACCGCGCA
Mucor mucedo is the source of this 72-nucleotide non-coding RNA. Lineage: Eukaryota; Fungi; Mucoromycota; Mucoromycetes; Mucorales; Mucoraceae. The record is from the annotation of a RefSeq genome assembly.